GAAAGAGGGAGGUGGCAAGGGACUGGAGGAACGCAACGUCACGGCGUCCCGAAGCCGAAAGGCAGUGUCUUGGGAGAGGAGACUUGGUGGAGGCAGCUGCCCCUCCAAAGACUACAUGUCCCAAGAUGCCACGGUGCCCCGGGCGGGGCGGGGCGGGGUGGGCGGAGCUCGGUGGGAGCCGUCCCAGUUGGAGGCCUUGUGUGACAACAGCGUCUCUUUUUAGCGUCCACUUAGCGUCUUCAUUACAGCUUGGCGUCGAAAUUAACAGUUAGAAUUUAGAGUCCUAACUAUUGGAGAAAGCAAAGGAAAUGGGGAUUGACAUAGGGAAGGCGGACGUAGGAGAAGAGCCACAGUUUAGUAAUUUCCUGCUGUAGCAAUUUAAUUUGAAGAAAGAGUGGGACGUAAGGAAAGGGGCAGACCACUCCUAUUUGUGAGGCCCCGUCAAAAGUAUAAAUGAAGGCCCACAUACUUUUUGACUGAAUAUUUAAAAGUUGUAAAUCAAGCUAAAUACUAAAAGAGAUACGUUCUAGCCUCCUAACUUAAAUGUAUCUUCCUAACAGUCUGGAAGAUCAAGUCCGAAUUUAGAAUUCUAGGACUGGAAUUCCAGGCAAGGAGAGCUGCCAAAAUCCUUCUCUACGCGUUCCACUUCCCCUUCACACCGCAUGGGCGGUCACUUGGCCACCACCGGGGCCUUGGGAUGAGCACACGCUCAGGAGAAUGGACCUAAAGAAACGCUUCUGCAAGCCCUGAAAACAACAGUGAUGAAGUAGAACUGCAUGUAACAAUAUGGAUACAUCUGAAAACUACGCUGUUAAAUGAGCAAAACAGAUUGCAGACGGUAGAAACGGGGUUUCACCGUGUCAGCCAGGCUGGUCUUGAACUCCUGAUCUCGUGAUCCACCCACCUCAGCCUCCCAAGGUGCUGGGAUUACAGCACAAGCUCAGCCCAGCACUAUGUUUUUCAAUCCUCUUAGCAUCAGAAUAAUCCAAGGAGCUUAAAAACGUACACACGUAAAACGAUGUGGGAACGUCACCCCCAGGAAUUCUGAUUCUGCUCUUCUAGGGUCAGACACAAGCACAGGGGAGGCAGCAGUUGGUGAAGAAAUAGGAAGUAUAAUAGAUGGGAGAACCAUGUCCUCAUAUGCUAUGUCAGGAUGUCAGCAGAUUAUGUCAGAAAUCGUUUCAUAGGUUGAGAAGAAGAAAUGUACUCAAAGAGCUGUACUUAAGGAAUUAAAACUGAGGCACCCCAACUGCACCUGGACCUGAUUUAGAUGACAAGAUUUUGGAUAUUGAGCCCACACUGCAAUGGGAAGAGACUUUGCAGUCCUUGGAGGGCUCAGUGAGAUGCUGUUCUGAAGUUGCUUUCCUCUGGGGCUGCUACUCUCAUCCUUUGUUCACUUGGUUAAAGAGGUCAGAUGCUUCAUCCAUUGAAAGAUGCAUAAAUUCUAUGAUGUGUUGUGUAUUGACUAUGUGCCAGAGGCUGUAACUGCAAAGUGGAAGGUGCACUCUGCACCCCAAGAACUUCCCAUUAGUGGGGAAGAGACAAGUAUGCUUGGCAAUUGCAAUAACAUGGGAUUGAGGGUAAAGUGUGGUUAAACUCUGGGUGCCUUGGGAGCACUAUGGAGGGUUACAUGAUCCACCUGGGAUACAGAGGGGACAGUGGGAAGGAUGGGAUUUGGGAUGUGUCAAGAAAUAGUAGGCAUGCCUGGGGGAAACUGAUGUCCUGUGAUCUAGCUCUGCUACAAGAAUUCAUUUUUCCUUUAUAAUUCAUAGAAACAAAAUAGACAAUUUAUACCUCAUCAUAUUUUCUAGAAUUAGCAAUACAUAUCUGUCAACACCUUGCAGACAUGUGCAGUAAUAAUUGUAAAAUCUAGCAAAAAGCACAGUAUUAGGCUUUCCUGAAUCAUUUUAAAGUCAUUAAUUCACAGACUCAUAUAAUGUUAGUACUAAAAUAGAACUAAGACAUCUUUUCCAGUGCAAAACCUUCACAGAGGAGGAAACUGAAGCUCAGAGGUCAACAAAAAACAAAACAAAAAACACAACAACACAACCACCAAAAUAUUAGGAAUGUUUUUCUUGAUAUUUCCCUUCUUUACUUGGUUGCUUGGUCACCUGUCAGUGGGUGGGACUAAGACAUCUUCAGAGAAUGUGUUCUGCUUAUGGACUCACAAUUCUUUCAGUUAUCUGUAGGACGAUACCUACGAGUCAGCCCAAUACAGUCCCUCCUUUCCUCCCCAUACAGAUACCCAUUUUUGGUAGAUGCUGUGACAGAAAGGCCACAGGAAGGGGAAAGAGUGUCUGCCCUGGGGUCAAAUUUUGAAAGUUAACUGAUCAACUAAUAUCAAUUCCAUGGACCCAAGAAAGUUUACACUGAGAUGGGAUUUUAAGAUAAUUAUAUUGUAGGAUCUACAUAGGCUGAGACAAUUAUGUUAGUGCUUGAACAGAGGCCGCAUGGAUACUCUGCAACUGGAAAAUGAAGUAUUAAGACAACAAAUGGCUAGUGUUUCAUAAAGUUAAUUUCAAAAGUCUAUGUCACUAAUACAACUGUAAGUGAAAAGCUGUCCUGUAACUCUUUCAAAGCUGACUGAUCAGGAGGUGAAAAGUCUAAUGUAGGAUCAUUUAAUAUUUCAAAAUCUCUGAAAUAUGCCAUGUGAAAAGGGAAGAGUUUAAUAAAUAAUUUUCUGUAUUAAUAAUACAAUACUAUAGCAAUGCUAUCUAACAGAGAUAUAAUAUAAGCCGUGUAUGUUAUGUUAAAUUUUCCAGAAAUGGCAAAACCAAUUUUUAAAAAUCAUAGUAAAUAUACAGAACAUAUUACCAUUUUAACCCUUUUCAUGUGUGCAACUCAGUGAAAUAAAGUACAACUACACUGGUAUGCAACCAUCACUACUAUCCAUUUCCAGAACUUUCCCAUCAUCCCCAAAUGAAAUUCUAUACCCAUUAAACAAUUCUCCCCAUCAUUCCUUCCCACCAGCUGUUGAUAACCUUAUUCUACUUUCUAUUUCUAUGAAUUUGACAAUUCUGGGUACCUUAUACAAGUGGAAUCAUAACAGUAUCUGUCCUUUUGUGCCUAAUUUAUUUCACUUAGCAUGUCUUCAUGGUUCAUCCAUAUUGUAGGAUGUAUCAGAAUUUCAAUCUUCUUUAAGCCUGAGUAAUACUCCAUUGUAUGUAUAUAUAUGUGUGUGUGUAUAUAUAUACUGCAGUUUAUCUAUCCAUUGAUGGACAUUUGGGUUGUUUCCACCUUUUGGCUAUUGUGAAGGUAAAAAAAAAAAUAGUGUAUCUGUUUUACCCAAUUUAUCCAAAGUAUUAUCAUUUCAACCUGUAAUCGAUAUACAAAUUAUUACUGAGAUAUUUUACAUUAGUUGUUUUCUAACGUCUUUGAGAUCUGCUGUGUAUUUCAUAAUUACAGCAUAUCUCCAUUUGAAUUAGCCACACUUUAUGCUCUUAAUAGCCAUACGUGGUUAGUAGUUAAUGUACUGGAUAGCACAGUUCUGUAAGAGAGUUUGCAUUCAAGAUUUUAUAAAUCAUGAUUCCUCUGGAUGCCACCAUGAUGAAUAAUUCCACCUUAUUUUUUUCUCAUAUAGCCCUAUUUUUUAGAGUUAGGCCUCAGAAGUCAGACCAAACUAAAUGCAGAUCCCAGUCUCUUACUAAUUAUCUCAGUGAUGUUGGAAAGAUUACUUAAUCUUUCAAAACCUCAGUUCCGUUUUUCGUAAAGUUGGAAAAAAAGACUGUUUCUCCCAUAGGGUUUCUGUCUGAAUUAAAAUCAAAUAACAUAAAUAAAGUGCUCAAUGUACUUAA
This is a long non-coding RNA of Symphalangus syndactylus (siamang), 3794 nucleotides long. RefSeq lists it as uncharacterized. Lineage: Eukaryota; Metazoa; Chordata; Mammalia; Primates; Hylobatidae. The record is from RefSeq and is a predicted model, not a curated record.